This 434-nucleotide ribosomal RNA is filed under the name uncultured Afifella sp. RNAcentral describes it as "bacterial SSU rRNA". It matches the Rfam family "Bacterial small subunit ribosomal RNA", at positions 341 to 792 of the family's 1533-position model. Lineage: Bacteria; Pseudomonadati; Pseudomonadota; Alphaproteobacteria; Hyphomicrobiales; Afifellaceae. The record is from RNAcentral.
ACGGGAGGCAGCAGUGGGGAAUAUUGGACAAUGGGCGCAAGCCUGAUCCAGCCAUGCCGCGUGAGUGAAGAAGGCCCUAGGGUUGUAAAGCUCUUUCAGCGGGGACGAUAAUGACGGUACCCGCAGAAGAAGCCCCGGCUAACUUCGUGCCAGCAGCCGCGGUAAUACGAAGGGGGCUAGCGUUGUUCGGAUUUACUGGGCGUAAAGCGCGCGUAGGCGGGCAUUUAAGUCAGGGGUGAAAUCCCAGGGCUCAACCCUGGAACGGCCUUUGAUACUGGAUGCCUGGAGAUCGGGAGAGGUUGGUGGAAUUCCGAGUGUAGAGGUGAAAUUCGUAGAUAUUCGGAGGAACACCAGAAGCGAAGGCGGCCAACUGGCCCGAUACUGACGCUGAGGCGCGAAAGCGUGGGGAGCAAACAGGAUUAGAUACCCUGGUA